GAUGAACGCUGGCGGCGUGCCUAAUACAUGCAAGUCGAGCGAACAGACGAGGAGCUUGCUCCUCUGACGUUAGCGGCGGACGGGUGAGUAACACGUGGAUAACCUACCUAUAAGACUGGGAUAACUUCGGGAAACCGGAGCUAAUACCGGAUAAUAUAUUGAACCGCAUGGUUCAAUAGUGAAAGACGGUUUUGCUGUUACUUAUAGAUGGAUCCGCGCCGCAUUAGCUAGUUGUUAAGGUAACGGCUUACCAAGGCAACGAUGCGUAGCCGACCUGAGAGGGUGAUCGGCCACACUGGAACUGAGACACGGUCCAGACUCCUACGGGAGGCAGCAGUAGGGAAUCUUCCGCAAUGGGCGAAAGCCUGACGGAGCAACGCCGCGUGAGUGAUGAAGGUCUUCGGAUCGUAAAACUCUGUUAUUAGGGAAGAACAAAUGUGUAAGUAACUAUGCACGUCUUGACGGUACCUAAUCAGAAAGCCACGGCUAACUACGUG
Molecule: ribosomal RNA, 497 nt
Filed under: uncultured bacterium
Lineage: Bacteria
Description: partial 16S ribosomal RNA
Rfam family: Bacterial small subunit ribosomal RNA
Source: RNAcentral